UCCUCCUUGUAAUUAUAGGUGAAGCAAUCUAUUAGUGAAGCUUGCAGUCUACACUCAUAGACCGCUUUGCCUAUCUCUACAAGGGGGA
This is a non-coding RNA of Marchantia polymorpha subsp. ruderalis, 88 nucleotides long. The record is from the annotation of a GenBank genome assembly. NCBI's taxonomy places the organism in Eukaryota, Viridiplantae, Streptophyta, Marchantiopsida, Marchantiales, Marchantiaceae.